GCCGCGUUCGUCUAGUGGCCUAGGACAUCGGGCUUUCAUCCCGAAAAUCACGGGUUCGACUCCCGUACGCGGUACUA
RNAcentral lists this transfer RNA (77 nucleotides) under Candidatus Levybacteria bacterium RIFCSPLOWO2_02_FULL_39_26. Its description in RNAcentral is "tRNA-Glu". It matches the Rfam family "tRNA". Rfam says of the family: Transfer RNA (tRNA) molecules are approximately 80 nucleotides in length. Their secondary structure includes four short double-helical elements and three loops (D, anti-codon, and T loops). RNAcentral also lists the same sequence under 1 other name. Lineage: Bacteria; Candidatus Levyibacteriota. The record is from RNAcentral.